This 449-nucleotide ribosomal RNA is filed under the name uncultured bacterium. Its description in RNAcentral is "partial 16S ribosomal RNA". It matches the Rfam family "Bacterial small subunit ribosomal RNA", at positions 29 to 523 of the family's 1533-position model. The record is from RNAcentral.
AAUGAACGCUGGCGGCAGGCCUAACACAUGCAAGUCGAACGGAUCCUUCGGGAUUAGUGGCGGACGGGUGAGUAACGCGUGGGAACAUACCCUUUGGUACGGAAUAGCCUCGGGAAACUGGGAGUAAUACCGUAUGUGGUCGAGAGACGAAAGAUUUAUCGCCAAAGGAUUGGCCCGCGUUGGAUUAGGUAGUUGGUGGGGUAAUGGCCUACCAAGCCGACGAUCCAUAGCUGGUUUGAGCGGAUGAUCAGCCACACUGGGACUGAGACACGGCCCAGAGUCCGACGGGAGGCAGCAGUGGGGAAUCUUAGACAAUGGGGGAAACCCUGAUCUAGCCAUGCCGCGUGAUCGAUGAAGGCCUUAGGGUUGUAAAGAUCUUUCAGGUGGGAAGAUAAUGACUGUACCACCAGAAGAAGCCCCGGCUAACUCCGUGCCAGCAGCCGCGGUAA